CCGCCUAAUGGCAACAGGUUAUGUAGUUCAACCUCGACUUGUGAAUUGAUAUCGACUAGUUGGAUAAACUCGACGUUAAUUGAUCGAUGUCGUACUAACGUGUCUCGCUGCAAACUAAUUCCGCGCAACAGACGUUCUCUUCCGGGGAGCGGACGGUACAUCCCGUGGGUGGUGGAUUUGGUAAUCGUGGACAAACUCGAAGACGACAUCUGAGCGCGCCCUCGUUGCACCUGCACUGCAAACAGGGCUCGGACGUGACCACGGACGUGCCCUCCUCGUAUCUGCGGCCCUCGUAUCUGCACCCUGCGACAGACCAACUCGUUCCAGUUAAUAAAUUAUUCUGAGAUAUAAUAAAAAAGUGUUUUUUGAAAUAAAUAUUUCGUUUUUGUAAUAAUCGAAAAGAUAACUUCCCUUCCAUGAUAUUUUAAAAUUUGUGGGAUGUAAUAAGAAUUUUAUUUGUAGAAUAUAAUUGCCAAAUAAAUUGCAAUCUUUUUCCCUCGUUUUCUUUUAAAUGUUCAAAACGUGAAUACGUAGAAAAUGUUUUAAUAUUCAAAUAUAUUUAUUUGACAUGGUUUUUCUAAAAAAAAAAAAAUAAAUAAAUUUUUGAUAAAAUUUUCUCAGGCAAGUAAUCGCAAAUACAAAAAUUGGGAAUUGGUAGGAAAGUAAAAGUGAUAUUAUAAUUUGAUGAAUGAGUGAAAUUUUAUAAAUUGUAAAUAAUAUUCGAUAAAUAAAUGAAUUGUGAUAAA
Molecule: long non-coding RNA, 746 nt
Organism: Apis cerana (Asiatic honeybee)
Lineage: Eukaryota; Metazoa; Arthropoda; Insecta; Hymenoptera; Apidae
Source: RefSeq, a predicted model, not a curated record